ACCGCGAUAGCUCAGCUGGUAGAGCAUCUGCCCGGUAUGCCGAGGGUCGCCGGCUCGCGGCG
This 62-nucleotide transfer RNA is filed under the name Fasciola hepatica (liver fluke). Its description in RNAcentral is "tRNA-Thr". The record is from RNAcentral. Lineage: Eukaryota; Metazoa; Platyhelminthes; Trematoda; Plagiorchiida; Fasciolidae.